RNAcentral lists this ribosomal RNA (423 nucleotides) under Triticum aestivum (bread wheat). Its description in RNAcentral is "partial small subunit ribosomal RNA". Lineage: Eukaryota; Viridiplantae; Streptophyta; Magnoliopsida; Poales; Poaceae. The record is from RNAcentral.
AUGAGUAUCCUAUGCUGGAACUGUCGCGGUGCAGGCAAACCCGCGACAGUUCGAGAGCUUCGCGAUAUGGUGAGGCAAUUUGCCCCCUUUAUUGUUGGCAUUGUUGAAACCCAAAUAGAGGGUAGUAGAGUUGAGAAGCUAGUUGAUACUCUAGGUUUUAAUAAAAGUUUUGCUAUUAGUAGUUCUGAUAGAAGUGGUGGUAUUGGUGUUUUUUGGAAUGAUACAAUAAAGCUCGAGAUUAUUGGUUACUCUGAUUACCAUGUCGAUGUUGAGGUCGACUCUUUGAACAAUGUUAAGUCCAGGUUCACUUUCAUUUAUGGAGAAGCUCAGGUCAGCGAGCAAUACAAAACCUGGGAUACUUUGAGAGGCAUGCAUUACGAGUACCAGUCAGCUGCCAUGGGCAGUUCUCGGCGACUUCAAUGA